Neopelma chrysocephalum (saffron-crested tyrant-manakin) is the source of this 1165-nucleotide RNA transcript. It is a transcript of the gene named epiregulin, with no coding region annotated. NCBI's taxonomy places the organism in Eukaryota, Metazoa, Chordata, Aves, Passeriformes, Pipridae. The transcript is spliced from 7 exons. The record is from RefSeq and is a predicted model, not a curated record.
CGGCUCCACACUGCUCCUGGCUCCGCCACCUGCCUUCCUGCCGCCUCCUCUGCUCCCCGGGGACCGAGGGCGAUGGACGCCGGCUGCCUGCGGGCCCGCAGCCUGCUGCUCUUCCUCGGGCAGGAGUGUAAGCAGAACACGGCGCUCCUGGGAAGGCUGUCUGUUGCUGGUGUUAUGCCAGGCUGGAAGAGGUUCCCUGCUGAGUGGCUGGAGCCUGUAACUGAAGUGACAGCCACGUCAGGUUACCUAUUGCAGGCAGCCCUGGGGACAACAGUGAUCCCGUUAUGUGGGCCUGGUGAAAUGGAGAACUGCACCACAGCGCUCAUCCAGACAGAGAACAGCCCACGUGUGGCCCAAGUGGGGAUAACGAGAUGCAAGCCUGAAAUGAAGGACUACUGCUUCCAUGGGCAGUGCGUGUACAUCGUGGACUUGGAUGAGCACUACUGCAGGUGUGACGUGGGGUUCUCUGGAGUGCGGUGUGUGCACUCGGAGCUGGUCCGGCAGCCCCUCAGCAAGGAGUACGUGGCACUGACGGUUAUCGUGGUUCUGCUCUUCGUCGCCGCCAUCUCCCUUGCAAGCUACUACAUCUACAGGAGACAGACCUACUAACCCACAGGAAGACUUUAAGGCAGAUGUGGAAUUUUCAGUGAAGAGCUGAGAAAGGAGACUGCACAUGAGUGAUCUCAGACCUGGAAAUGAGCGCAGACAGAGCCCAGGAGCUAGAGAUUUAAAGGAGGAGAGAUUUAAAACAAACUUUAGAAGGUACCGAAACAAGAGGAGACAAACAAACGCCAGUGAAUACAAGGAAGUCGGUGCCCUAUAGGAGAAACGGUGAUUUCCUGCAGUGUUCCGUUCAUCUGGAUGGACUCAGUGGCUUCCCAUCUAUUUAAAUAUUAUUUUUAUUAAUAAUAUUUACUAUAUUUAUAACCUUUCAACUGUUCGGUGAUUCAAUCUGUAUAGGUCAAGCAUUUUAUUUGCAGUGUUUUAUUUUUUUAUUAAAUAAUAUUUCCUAAAGGGAACCCCACCUAAGUGGUUCUGUGGGAUAGAGAUAUAUUUUUAUAAAAACUCAUCUUCUUGCUCUGGAGAGAAGAAUUUUAUAUUUAUUCUUGUGAAUAUACUCAAAGCAAUUGUAUUCCUUGAAAUAAAAGUUUAGACAAAGUCAAAA